UACGUAGGGGGCAAGCGUUGUCCGGAUUUAUUGGGCGUAAAGAGCGUGUAGGCGGCCAUACAGGUCAGCUGUGAAAACUCGAGGCUCAACCUCGAGACGUCGGUUGAAACCGUAUGGCUAGAGUCCGGAAGAGGAGAGUGGAAUUCCCGGUGUAGCGGUGAAAUGCGCAGAUAUCGGAAGGAACACCGAUGGCGAAAGCAGCGUGCUGGACCUUUUCUGACGCUGAGGCGCGAAAGCCAGGGGAGCAAACGGG
RNAcentral lists this ribosomal RNA (253 nucleotides) under uncultured bacterium. Its description in RNAcentral is "partial 16S ribosomal RNA". It matches the Rfam family "Bacterial small subunit ribosomal RNA", at positions 524 to 776 of the family's 1533-position model. The record is from RNAcentral.